UGGGGAAUAUUGCACAAUGGGCGCAAGCCUGAUGCAGCCAUGCCGCGUGUGUGAAGAAGGCCUUCGGGUUGUAAAGCACUUUCAGCGGGGAGGAAGGCGAUAAGGUUAAUAACCUUGUCGAUUGACGUUACCCGCAGAAGAAGCACCGGCUAACUUCGUGCCAGCAGCCGCGGUAAUACGGAGGGUGCAAGCGUUAAUCGGAAUUACUGGGCGUAAAGCGCACGCAGGCGGUCUGUCAAGUCGGAUGUGAAAUCCCCGGGCUAAACCUGGGAGCGGCAUUCGAAACUGGCAGGCUAGAGUCUUGUAGAGAGGGGUAGAAUUCCAGGUGUAGCGGUGGGAUGCGUAGGGAACAGGAGGAAUACCGGUGGCGAAGGCGGCCCCCUGGACAAAAACUGACGCUCAGGUGCGAAAGCGUGGGGAGCAAACGGG
Molecule: ribosomal RNA, 429 nt
Filed under: Chloroflexota bacterium
Lineage: Bacteria; Bacillati; Chloroflexota
Description: Chloroflexi bacterium partial 16S ribosomal RNA
Rfam family: Bacterial small subunit ribosomal RNA
Source: RNAcentral